This is an RNA transcript of Anopheles stephensi (Asian malaria mosquito), 1921 nucleotides long. It is a transcript of the gene named mpv17-like protein, with no coding region annotated. The transcript is spliced from 7 exons. NCBI's taxonomy places the organism in Eukaryota, Metazoa, Arthropoda, Insecta, Diptera, Culicidae. The record is from RefSeq and is a predicted model, not a curated record.
AUAUGUUCACCAUCAAAAACUUUCUAAUUGAAACGAGCAUCUUGUUUGAAUAUUCAUUGUAGUAGUAUAUACUGAAGAUAGAUACUCAUAGGACAAAGAAACCUUUAGUCAGAAUUUAUUCGAACAAUGAGAGAGAGGUAGCUCAAUUUUCUUACUAUUGUUUCGGAAAAGCAACUUCCCCCGAAUGGGCUUCCUUCGGUCGCAGGGGCGAUGGCGGAUUGUCGAAUCAAAACAUGCUAUCUGGGACCAUCCGUCGCCCGCCGCCCGAUAACAUUUGGUCGAUUUCAAUUUAAAACGAUCGUGGCGAGUUUAUUAGUAUCAAUUGGCGGUGAUUACUACAGCGCACGCUUUUUUAUGCUUCAGCAGAGGAACUGCACGCGCUGCGAGCAUUUCGUCGACGGAUGGUUCAGUCUUUUACCCGACACCACGGUUAUCUGAUGUCAGCCGGUCGCAUCGCAAAUCGGAUAUCGCAAGCAGCAAUCCCAUCAGAGUAAAUUGGUGCGGUCACGUUGAACAGAUCACAGUGCAAAACAAUACCAUUCUUACGCUGGUGUUGUUGCGUUUCUAACAGCUUCUACAAACAAUAUUCUAGCCAACUAUCCUUCGAUUUCUUCAAAACUACUGGACAAAGAACCGGUCAUCUGCUGCACUGGGCUUCCAACCGAAAUGGUGAAUUUGUGAUACUUGCUCACGAGGGUUUGGCCUGCUAAGGUUUAACACAUUUCCUGCCAAGGUUGUGCUUUUAUCGAGGUAUUUUUGCCCUAGAUCCAACCCGUCCGUGCGUGGGGUGGAAAAUCUGAACCGUAAGUGCAGCUAGUCAGCAGUGCGUAUCCCGCCGGACUCGGUCUGAUACGUUGCCAUGGCAACGAUGCUGAAAGCUUUCGGUCGCUUCUUUACGAAGCAUCCUUUGGCGGGAAAUGGACUCGUGUACGGUACACUGUAUGUCGGUGCAGAAUUUUCGCAACAAACAAUUACGCGAAAAUUCUUGACCGACCCUCCCCAGGCUAUCGAUCAACCCACUCUGGCACGAUACGCCGUCAUGGGCACGUUCAUCUAUUCGCCAAUACUCUACAACUGUUCCAACAUCAUUCAACCUGCAUGCAUGUCCACCGAUCAUUACGUGCCGCCACUGACUAAUCAAUUGGUACGAAACGAACAAAAGAUUUCGAAUGCAAACCAUCGACACACGCAAUCACGUUUUCAUUAAGCCAUCGCUUGUCAAUCAUUUCCGCACAAACGAGGAUCAAGGAUAUCGCAGAACUUUACCCGACGAAGGUACAAAUGGUUGGAUAAAACCUUCCCCGGCACUGCCAAACGAAUCAUCGUGAAGAAACUACUGCUGGAUCAGUUUGUGUUAACUCCACCACUGCUAGUUAUAUUCUUUACCGGAAUGUCCCUAAUGGAACAACAAUCGUCAAUCACCGAAGAGUGCCGUCAAAAGUUUGUGCCCACUUUCGCGCGAUCUUGCCUGUUCUGGAUUCCUGCGCAAACACUCAACUUUGUCCUCGUGCCUCCAAAGUUUCGAGUCGUCUAUGUCGGUUCCUGUGCCUUUGCCUGGGUGAACAUUUUGUGCUGGGUUAAACGCCAGAAAAUGUUAGGCUCGAACUAGCCAGUUCUGCCAGUUCUUGUCACUACGUUACUCUAGCAUCUUAUAACGAUUACGAGCUCAUUGUUAAAAGCAAGACACAGCGUUAGAAUGUUGGCGCUUAGCUAGGAAAACCAAAGUCAGACACGUUUCAGUCAAUCAAUCUCGUAGAAUACGGCCACACAGGGCAUGCAUUUUAUGCUGUUAAAAUAAUAACAUAAGUUACCGCGUAAACGAUGGAACUAUAUUCAUGGCCGUUCUUUUUUCAAUUAGAUACAAUAAAGUCAUCGACAGAUCAAGUAAUUGCCGGCAUGAAUUACAAACCUAACAGGCAAA